RNAcentral lists this ribosomal RNA (690 nucleotides) under uncultured bacterium. Its description in RNAcentral is "bacterial SSU rRNA". It matches the Rfam family "Bacterial small subunit ribosomal RNA", at positions 32 to 715 of the family's 1533-position model. The record is from RNAcentral.
AACGCUAGCUACAGGCUUAACACAUGCAAGUCGAGGGGCAGCGCAGUGUAGCAAUACAUGGGCGGCGACCGGCGCACGGGUGCGUAACGCGUAUCCAACCUUCCCGUUACUCAGGGAUAGCCUUCCGAAAGGGAGAUUAAUACCUGAUGGUGUUCAAAUUCCGCAUGUUAUUUGAACUAAAGAUUUAUCGGUAACGGAUGGGGAUGCGUGACAUUAGGUAGAUGGCGGGGUAACGGCCCACCAUGCCUACGAUGUCUAGGGGUUCUGAGAGGAAGGUCCCCCACACUGGAACUGAGACACGGUCCAGACUCCUACGGGAGGCAGCAGUGAGGAAUAUUGGUCAAUGGUCGGAAGACUGAACCAGCCAAGUAGCGUGAAGGAUGAAGGUUCUAUGGAUUGUAAACUUCUUUUAUACGGGAAUAAAACCUCCCACGUGUGGGAGCUUGUAUGUACCGUAUGAAUAAGCAUCGGCUAACUCCGUGCCAGCAGCCGCGGUAAUACGGAGGAUGCGAGCGUUAUCCGGAUUUAUUGGGUUUAAAGGGAGCGUAGACGGGGAAUUAAGUCAGUUGUGAAAGGCUGCGGCUCAACCGCAGCACUGCAGUUGAUACUGGUUUCCUUGAGUGCGGUUGAGGUAUGUGGAAUUCGUGGUGUAGCGGUGAAAUGCUUAGAUAUCACGAAGAACUCCGAUUG